CAGCUACUUGGGAGGCUGAGGCGGGAGAAUCACUUGAACCCAGGAGGCUGAGGUUGUAGUGAGCCGAGACUGUGCCACUGCACUCCAGCCUGGGCGACAGAGCGAGACUCCAUCUCAAAAAAAAAAAAAAAAAAAAAAAAGAAUUAUGCUCAAUCUACUCUGCCUGUGCUGUAUAAAUGGAACAACAAAGCCUGGAUGACAGCACAUUUGUUUAUAGCAUGGUUUACUGAAUUCUAAGCCCACUAUUUAGACCUAGUGCACAGAAAAAAGAUUCCCUUCAAAAUAUUACUGCUCAAUGACAAUGUACCUAGUCAACCAAUGGCUCUGAUGGAGAUGUACAAAGAAGGAGGUUAAUGUUGUUUUAAUGUCUGCUAAUAUAACAUCCAUUCUGCAGCCCAUAGAUCAAGGAGUAAUUUUGACUUUUAAGUCAUAUUAUUGAAUAAAUACAUUUCCUAAGGCUAUAGCUGCCAUAGAUAAUGAUUCCACUGAUGGAUCUUGGCAAAGUAACUUUCGUUUGCACUGCAAAACCAAAAGUUUUCUGUGACUUGUUUUAUUGUGAUAUUCACUUUAUUGUGGUGGUCUGGAACUGAACGUGCAGUAUUUCUGAACUGUGACUAUAUCUGAAUAGCUAAUGAGUUCAUGAAAAGAUCUUUAUCAUUAGUUGGCCCCGCACGGUGGCUCACGCCUGUAAUCCCAGGCCUCUGGGAGGCUGAGGCAGGCAGAUCAAUUGAGGUGGGGUGUUCAAGACCAGCCUGCCCAACAAGGUGAAACCUCUCUACCAAAAAAUACAAAUAUCAGCCGGAUGUGGCUGCAUGUACCUGUAGUCCCAGCUAAACUACUCGGGAGGCUGAGGUGGGAGGAUCACUUGAACCUGGGAAGCGGAGACUGCAGUGAGCCGAGAUUAUACCACUGCCCUCUAGCCCGGGCAAAAGGGUGAGGCAGUUGAGACCCUUUCUUAAAAAAAAAAAAAAAAAAAAAAGUCUUUUAUCUUAGCCGUUAAGGAAAUACAAAUUAAAGCCACAAUGAGAAAACACUUUACACCUGUAAGAAUGCUAAAGUAGAAAAUAUUGACAAUAUUAAGUGCUAGUGAAAACAUUUCUGCAAUUUCUCUCUCUUUCCCCUCCCCUCCCCUCCUCUUUCUUUCUCUCUUUCUCUCUUUUGUUCUUUCUUUCUCAAUAGGGCUGUUGCGCAGGCUGGAGUGCAGUGUGGCACAAUCAGCUCACUGCAGCCUUGAACUCCCAGGCUCAAGUGAUUCUCUUGCCUCUGCCUCCUGAAUAGCUAGGACUAUAGGCCUGCGCUACCAUGCCUAGCUAAUUUUUUUUUUUUUUUUUUUUUUGGGUAGAGAUGGGGUCAUGUUGUGUUGCCCAGGCUUGGCAAUUUCUUAUAAAGUUAAACAUAUAUCUACCCUAUAAUUCAGAAAUUCCACUCCUAGGUAUCCAGCUAGGAGAAAUGUAAACACAUGUCCCAAAACAAAGCAUAUUUGCAAAAAUGUUUAUAGCAACUUUAUCCAUAAUAGCCCCAAACUAGAAACAACCCAAAUGCCCAUUAACAGUUGAAUGCACAAACUGUAGUAUUUCUAUAUAAUACAGUAUUACUUAGCAAUAAAGAGGAAGGAACUACUUGUACAUAAAACAGUUUCUGUGUAUCUCAAGGAUGUUGUGAUGAGCAAAAAGAAGUAAGACCCAAAGAAGGACAUGCAAUUUGAUUUCAUUAGUAUGCAAUUCAAGAAAAGGCAGAACUAAUCUAUAUGGACAGAGAGCAGAGCAGUGGUACCUAAGGCAAGGCUCGGAGAGAAGAGAGCUGGUUGCAAACGGGCACAGUAGGCGGAGAUACGUGAUGGAAAACUGCUGUAUUUUGACUGUGGUGUUGGUUUCAUGGAUAUACAUGUUUGUCAAAACUCACCAAGCUGUACACUUAAGCAUAUUCUAUGGUUUGUAAAAUAGACCUCAAUAAAGUUGAUUUUUGUUUUCAAGGUAGAGUCUCGCUCUGUCACCCAGGCUGGAGUGCAGUGGCGCAAUCACAGCUCACUUCAGUCUUGACCUCCCAGUCUCAAGCAAUCCUCACACAUCAGCCUCCCGCGUAGCUGGGACUACAAGCACAUACCACCAUGCCCCGCUAAUUCUUUUCUUUGUUUUUAGGGAUGGGAUCGCACUUUGUUGCCCAGGCUGGUAUGUUGAUUUUAUUAUAUUUACUUAUUUUUUUGAGACAGAAUCUCACUCUGUG
Molecule: long non-coding RNA, 2223 nt
Filed under: Homo sapiens (human)
Lineage: Eukaryota; Metazoa; Chordata; Mammalia; Primates; Hominidae
Description: HSALNT0006837
Source: RNAcentral